CAAGAUCCCGUCCUAUCUUCGUUGGUUCUCCGUUUCACCUGAUCUCGAUUGUACAACUUGUAGAGAUUUCGAUUGUUUUUAUUCCAUUUCUGUUCUUGAUGAAAUCCCAUGCGAGAAAAUGAUUAUUUCGGGGACUCAUGCAUUCUUGGUCGCUGGUGAUGUGGGUUUCCGUUAGAUUGAUGUAAAAAGAAUCUGAUGGGAGGGUCUGCCCCAGAGCUCUGUAUUGAUGACUUUGAAAUAAGUCGGUUAAUACUGAAUUCUCCGAAAGACGGGAGAAUUCUCCGAAACAUCACAUCUUGGGAGAAUCGCUCUGGCAUUGUAUAGAAGGGAGGAUUCCUUAAUCACUACUGAUGACGGUUUUUGGUAGCAGUGGUUUAAGGAUUUUAUGUGGCCACUGUCUUCUAUUUUUAGAUACUAAAAAUUUCCUGCUAAGGUACGCGAUUGGAAUCUUUGUGAUCACUACAGAAGUUGUAGAGAUUUCAGCAGUUCAUCUGUAUAUAAAACCAUGGUGUCUGCUCUUCUUCCUGCAAAGGUUUACAAGAUGGGCACAAUUCUUUCAUUCUGGAUCUAUGCCUGUACCAGUUUACUGGAGUUCCAUCUAUGGUAUCCCUCGGACCAGGUUUGGCUUUGAAAGUGGCUGGGUGCCAUCUCCAUGAAUGUCAAACUGGAUAACUUCCUUCGGACAUUGACAGUAUCGAAUGCGAUUUUAGCCGACCUUAGGAUUUUAUCAUGUGCUCUGUCCUGAUAUCACCUUUAUUCUGGUGCUGUGACUGACUUGUCUGAAGCACCUGAAAAUGUCAUCAUCACUGCAUACAUGCAUUCGCAUGGAUUAUCAUAUGAGAAAUUUGACCCCCUUUGUCAUGGUUGGAUUUUGUC
Non-coding RNA from Phoenix dactylifera (date palm), 876 nucleotides. Lineage: Eukaryota; Viridiplantae; Streptophyta; Magnoliopsida; Arecales; Arecaceae. The record is from RefSeq and is a predicted model, not a curated record.